This 520-nucleotide ribosomal RNA is filed under the name uncultured eukaryote. RNAcentral describes it as "eukaryotic LSU rRNA". It matches the Rfam family "Eukaryotic large subunit ribosomal RNA", at positions 1409 to 1913 of the family's 3401-position model. The record is from RNAcentral.
GAUUAACAGUGAUGUUAAUUGAAAAUUUAUACUUUAGUGCAGAUCUUGGUGGUAGUAGCAAAUAUUCAAUAGAGAACAUUGAAGACUGAAGUGGAGAAAGGUUUCACAUGAACAACACUUGGAUGUGAGUUAGUCGAUCCUAAACGGUGGGUUAACUCCAUAUACAUAGAUACUUGUAUCUUGUACCGUGAAAGGGAAACAGGUUAAUAUUCCUGUACUAUAUCAAGGAGGUAAAAUGGCAACAUAAAUGAACUCAAAUACAUCAGUAGAAUAACCAGGAAGAGUUCUCUUUUCUUCUUAACAACUUCCUCGCAAGGGGUGUAUAAUGACCAUGGAAUCAAUUUAGUUGGAGAAAUGGUUAAAGAGUUGGCAGAGUAAUUCAAUUUCUGAAUUAUCUGGUUAGGUUCUAAUGAUACAUAAAUUUGAGGGAAUGAUCUUACUUGAAUAGUCGUACUCAUAACCGCAGCAGGUCUCCAAGGUUAGAAGCCUCUAGUUGGCAGAAUAAUGUAGGUAAGGGAAG